Molecule: unclassified non-coding RNA, 387 nt
Filed under: plant metagenome
Description: partial contains 5.8S ribosomal RNA, internal transcribed spacer 2, and large subunit ribosomal RNA
Rfam family: 5.8S ribosomal RNA (bases 1-106)
Source: RNAcentral
GAACUGCGAUAAGUGAUGUGAAUUGCAGACGUACACGAAUCAUCGAACCCUUGAACGCAUUCUGCGCCUCGAAGCUUGUCUUCGAGGCAUAUCUGGGUGAGUGUCGGUUUAACCUUCUUGCAUAAAAAUUUUUAUGCAGCGUUUGAUAGUAAAUCUUCUCCCGUUUGUUGGUAGGGCAUUUUCUAUCAAAAUAAAUCGACCUCUGAUUGAUUUUGGAAUCAAAGAGUAACCUUCGGGUGGAAUCAGAAACUAACUCGUUUACUUUCUCAGUCCUGAACGGCCUACUCAUCUGACCCAAAGUUUGUCGAAAGGUCUCGUUUGAAAUUUGAAAAAUUUUUUUUCAAACCUUCGACCUCACCUAGGUAAGACUACCCGCUGAAUUUAAGC